CGAAUAGGUGGAGAGUGGCGCACGGGUGAGUAACACAUGGCUGACCUGCCCUUCAGAGGGGGACAACCGUUGGAAACGGCGGCUAAUACCCCAUACGCUCGUGGGAGUUAGAGACCCGUGAGGAAAGUUGAGACGCUGAAGGAGGGGGCUGUGGCCCAUCAGCUAGUUGGUAGGGUAAAAGCCUACCAAGGCGAGGACGGGUAGGGGGCCUGAGAGGGUGACCCCCCACACUGGAACCGAGACACGGUCCAG
This 252-nucleotide ribosomal RNA is filed under the name uncultured bacterium. Its description in RNAcentral is "partial 16S ribosomal RNA". It matches the Rfam family "Bacterial small subunit ribosomal RNA", at positions 81 to 334 of the family's 1533-position model. The record is from RNAcentral.